CAAACGACUCUCGGCAACGGAUAUCUUGGCUC
This 32-nucleotide ribosomal RNA is filed under the name Nuphar japonica. Its description in RNAcentral is "partial 5.8S ribosomal RNA". RNAcentral also lists the same sequence under 1 other name. The record is from RNAcentral. Lineage: Eukaryota; Viridiplantae; Streptophyta; Magnoliopsida; Nymphaeales; Nymphaeaceae.